UCCUGGGUAGGGAGCAGGUCUAUCUGUUUAUGAACACAAGAUGUAAUCAAAUUAGCUGGUAUAAGAUGGAUUUUUCAUCUUUUCCAAGCUGCAUGAACUACAGCCACCCCUAGGAGGAGACAACCUAUCACAUAUCUCAAACAAGAUCUGCAGACAGAAUCGUAGGCAGCUCUUGAUACAGAUACUCACCACCAUUACCUUUGAAGGACUGCUACUCCAUUGUCUCUCCCUCCCUCCCUCUCUUCCAUCCUGAACUUCGUGCUUAUCAUCCCCUUUCUUUACAGUAUCAACACGUUUUGUUAAUAAUAUAAUGCAUGUUUUGAACUUUAAAUACAUGAACUCAUACUGGAUGUAUUCUUCUACCAGUCAUUGGUUCCCUGCUGCUGGCUGACCACUGUGCACUAGCUAACUUCAAUGACCCUAGCAGCAAAGGUAGGGUAAAAGACAACGCUGCCUCCUCUGGCUCUUCUGACAGAGGUGUUCAAAGAAUCUAAACUGAUAUUUCUCAGGGCAUGGUGGCACAAACUAUCCCUGGCCACCACCCAGUUUUUCUUCCUUGCCCUCAUACACUGAAACCUAAUACCACAGACACAUGGCCAAGCUUGCAAAUGGUCUGCCUGAAAUCUGAACCUGUGUAAUGGAACAUAAAUCUGCCAGAUACCUGCAUGAUCAGAGUGCAGAAUAACAAACAGUGCUCCUGGCAGUUUAACAGAGUUUCAAAGUGUGUGCACAUGCGCACAUAUACACAUCCCUUCCCCCU
Molecule: long non-coding RNA, 760 nt
Organism: Nycticebus coucang (slow loris)
Lineage: Eukaryota; Metazoa; Chordata; Mammalia; Primates; Lorisidae
Exons: 3
Source: RefSeq, a predicted model, not a curated record